GAUGAACGCUGGCGGCGUGCCUAAUACAUGCAAGUCGAGCGAACAGACGAGGAGCUUGCUCCUCUGACGUUAGCGGCGGACGGGCGAGUAACACGUGGAUAACCUACCUAUAUGACUGGGAUAACUACGGGAAACCGGAGCUAAUACCGGAUAAUAUAUUGAACCGCAUGGUUCAAUAGUGAAAGACGGCUUUGCUGUCACUUAUAGAUGGAUCCGCGCCGCAUUAGCUAGUUGGUAAGGUAACGGCUUACCAAGGCAACGAUGCGUAGCCGACCUGAGAGGGUGAUCGGCCACACUGGAACUGAGACACGGUCCAGACUCCUACGGGAGGCAGCAGUAGGGAAUCUUCCGCAAUGGGCGAAAGCCUGACGGAGCAGCACCGCGUGAGUGAUGAAGGUCUUCGGAUCGUAAAACGCUUUUAUUAGGGAAGAACAAAUGUGUAAGAAACUAUGCACGUCUUGACGGUACCUAAUCAAAAAGCCACGGCUAACUACGUG
This 497-nucleotide ribosomal RNA is filed under the name uncultured bacterium. Its description in RNAcentral is "partial 16S ribosomal RNA". It matches the Rfam family "Bacterial small subunit ribosomal RNA", at positions 28 to 507 of the family's 1533-position model. The record is from RNAcentral.